GAUGAACGCUGGCGGCGUGCCUAAUACAUGCAAGUCGAGCGAACAGACGAGGAGCUUGCUCCUCUGACGUUAGCGGCGGACGGGUGAGUAACACGUGGAUAACCUACCUAUAAGACUGGGAUAACUUCGGGAAACCGGAGCUAAUACCGGAUAACAUGUUGAACCGCAUGGUUUAACAGUGAAAUACGGUCUUGCUGUCACUUAUAGAUGGAUCCGCGCCGCAUUAGCUAGUUGGUAAGGUAACGGCUUACCAAGGCAACGAUGCGUAGCCGAACUGAGAGGGUGAUCGGCCACCCUGGAACUGAGACACGGUCCAGACUCCUACGGGAGGCAGCAGUAGGGAAUCGUCCGCAAAGGGCGAAAGCCUGAGGGAGCAACGCCGCGUGAGUGAAGAAGGUCUUCGGAUCGUAAAACUCUGUUAUUAGGGAAGAACAAAUGUGUAAGUAACUAUGCACGUCUUGACGGUAACUAAUCAGAAAGCCACGGCUAACUACGUG
This 497-nucleotide ribosomal RNA is filed under the name uncultured bacterium. RNAcentral's name for it is "partial 16S ribosomal RNA". It matches the Rfam family "Bacterial small subunit ribosomal RNA", at positions 28 to 507 of the family's 1533-position model. The record is from RNAcentral.